RNAcentral lists this ribosomal RNA (497 nucleotides) under uncultured bacterium. RNAcentral describes it as "partial 16S ribosomal RNA". It matches the Rfam family "Bacterial small subunit ribosomal RNA", at positions 28 to 507 of the family's 1533-position model. The record is from RNAcentral.
GGUGAACGCUGGCGGCGUGCCUAAUACAUGCAAGUCGAGCGAACGGACGAGAAGCUUGCUUCUCUGAUGUUAGCGGCGGACGGGUGAGUAACACGUGGAUAACCUACCUAUAAGACUGGGAUAACUUCGGGAAACCGGAGCUAAUACCGGAUAAUAUUUUGAACCGCAUGGUUCAAAAGUGAAAGACGGUCUUGCUGUCACUUAUAGAUGGAUCCGCGCUGCAUUAGCUAGUUGGUAAGGUAACGGCUUACCAAGGCAACGAUGCAUAGCCGACCUGAGAGGGUGAUCGGCCACACUGAAACUGAGACACGGUCCAGACUCCUACGGGAGGCAGCAGUAGGGAAUCUUCCGCAAUGGGCGAAAGCCUGACGGAGCAACGCCGCGUGAGUGAUGAAGGUCUUCGGAUCGUAAAACUCUGUUAUUAGGGAAGAACAUAUGUGUAAGUAACUGUGCACAUCUUGACGGUACCUAAUCAGAAAGCCACGGCUAACUACGUG